CCUGCUUUCAGUUGCUACCGGUUCGGCCGAGCACUCUAACGAGACUGCCGACGUGAAGUCGGAGGAAGGUGGGGACGACGUCAAGUCCUCAUGGCCCUUAUGCCCAGGGCUACACACGUACUACAAUGGCCGGUACAAAGCGCUGCAAAC
This 150-nucleotide ribosomal RNA is filed under the name uncultured bacterium. Its description in RNAcentral is "partial 16S ribosomal RNA". It matches the Rfam family "Bacterial small subunit ribosomal RNA", at positions 1104 to 1254 of the family's 1533-position model. The record is from RNAcentral.